Molecule: long non-coding RNA, 3744 nt
Filed under: Gallus gallus (chicken)
Lineage: Eukaryota; Metazoa; Chordata; Aves; Galliformes; Phasianidae
Source: RNAcentral
GCACAGACUGUGGAGGAGACCAGGAGGGAAUCUGUCCCUCUCUGGAUGAGCUGCAGCUCCACACUGCCAAACCACUUCCCAGAGAACCCACAUUUGUGUGGCAUGGCCCCAGGCCACCCAGCUGCUGCUUACAGGGCUAUUUCUAAACACCGCCUGCCUGCUCCAAACCUCAGCCUUGCUGAGUGCCAAGAGGAGCUCAGACUGGCCCUGCUCAGCGGAGGAUGCAAAUCUCCAGCAGUGAGAGGAGGCAGGAGGCCUCCCUGCUACAUAGCAGCAUGGUGCUCCAGGGGAAUAAAUGCUGCAGGUGCUGGGAGCUCUUUGCAGUACCCUGGAGCCCUGCUCUAGCAUGGAACCCGCAGCACAACACAGCAGCUUCUUCACGAAGUGCCUUCCCAGCACACUACGUGGCUCCUUCCUGGGGCUGGGGACACACGAUGAGCACGGAGCACUCCUACCUGCUCUUGUCUGCCGGUGCUUGGGGGUGGCAAACCGGUCCCACUGAGCAACAAUGAUGGCGGAGAUGCCCAAGACGCAGACAAUGGAGAGGUAGAUGAGUCUUGGCUGCGGGGAGCAGUAGAACGAAUAAUAGAGCCAGGGGACGAAGCUCCCCAUGAUCAGCAGUGCAAUUCCUGAAUAAUCCAACCUGCAGCCAGGGUACAAUGAGAGAUACAUGCAAGUGAGCCCCAAAGUCUGCCUCCUCCUGCAUGCUCUGCACUUGGUGCUGUGCAGUCUGUGCACCCAGAGUCACCACCACCACAGAGCAGCCAUGACCCCACGAGUAAAACUGCAUCAGGCAACAGAUGUUCAAGUCUCAUCAGUACAAUGAGAAACAGGAGAAAGGACCUGGGGCUUAUGAGGAUGCAAACAGAGCUGGCAGGAGUGCAAUGAACAGCUUGCUGGAUAUGCAGGAGCAGCAUAGAGAUGCUGUACACUCAAACCACCAUGAUGAGUGGUGGGCAUUAGUCCUUGUGCAUAUGGAUUUGAUUGUUCUCCACUGCAAAGUGCUUUCGAUCUAUCGAUCCAGGAACAAUUUCACCACUGAAAUGCAGUCGGCUGCAUUUCCCACUGCCACAGCAGCCUUGCAAGAACCCUCCCCAGUACACAAGGACAUUCCUGCUCAUGGCAGGCAGCACAGUUUGUUCCAGACACAAGAGCCCAUGGGAUCUGGUGUUUGUGCAUAGGAGAUUGGCAGGAUUUCCCAGCAAGCAGCACCCAAGUAAAUGCCUUUGAUAGACUUCUGUGAGCAAGAUCUCAUUCGAAAGCCUUGCUGCUGCUCUCCCUGUGCCAUGAAGGCUGAUGUGAACUUAACUCAAAGAGCAACACUGACCUCAGAGACGAGCACUGGCCACUGCCCAGUGUUUCCACAUUGCCGGGAAUCCUGUUUGUUUUGCUUUUCAAUUUGGUUUCAGUUCAAAUUGGAUCCAACCCAGAGUUUUUCAAAACAUCCAGUAAACUGGAAGACCCAUGGCUGCCCAGUGAGACCAGGACCGUUCCUCACUGUGCUGCUCCAAGAGGCACUGAGGCCAUUCUCUUGGGAGAUACAGGUUCCCACAGGGUCCCAGUCCUCAUAGGCCCCCUUCCCUGAGGGCAUCAGAGUUGCUGCCAGAUGCAAGGUGCUGAGGUACAGGACAGACCCUGGUCCUUCUGAGUCCCACACUGCAUCCAAUGAACACUCCCUUCCCCAAAGAACAAAAUCUUAGUGAAUGCAGCACUUGGAGAGGAAGUGCUGUGAGAAGUCAGAACAUCCUGAGACCACACAACCACACCGGUGCUGACUCACUUUGAAAAAGUCCGUGAGACCUUCUCUGAGUGACAGUAGACAGUGUGGAAAAGCCAGGAGAAGCUGAGGCACAGCACCGCCCCGAGGAAGAACAUCCCAAACACAACCUUCUCCUGGAGAGGAGCCAUGAAGUACAUGUUGGGCCGCAGCAUGGUCAGGAUCCCCAGGCAGAGGAACAACACAAAACCUGCAGAAAACAGCAAGUGGGCAGUCAGGCAGAGGCACAUCCAGCAUCGACCGAGGGAGCGCAGCAGAUGGACUGAACCCUGAGACAGGCAGAGCACACUGGCAGCAGCACAGGGAAGGUGAUAAGGGACACAUGGGGGAGAGGCCAGCAUGGCUGGCACAAAAGCAAUGCCUGGGGGCAUCUGUCUUACAAACACGAUGCCUCCUUAGUACAGCAAAGAGCCAGGAGAAUCACGGGCAUGGCUGUGUUCUGCAAGGCAGAGGCUGCAAACAUCCUGGGUUCCAAGGAAAAGUUUUACGAGACCCUCUGUUUUACCCAGAACACAUUUCUCCAUCCCAGGAACAGAAACAGCUGACCUAUAGUGCUCAAGCUCUGUGCAGCGGGAGCACAGCUCAGCCAGCUCCUGAAGACCCUGAGCCUCUAAGUCCCCAUGUAGGCCAGAACUCUGCAGAACAUCUGGCCAAGCCUCCCUUGCACUGUGAGCCCAAUGGGGCCAUCAGCUCUUGAAAAGUGCUAACACCAGCACUGAGCUCAGGUCUCAGUGCUGCUGUGAGAACUGUCCUGUUCUCCCUUCACUCAGAGGCCCAGGAGCUCCCAGCCACCAGCAACUUAACGGCCUACACGUGCAGAACCAGAGGGGUACAUGAUCCUAAAAGGAAGGCGGUAGGCACAGAGAGGACGUCAAUUAAGUCCCUUGGAGCAAACCUGUCCUUCAGAGGCAGCCCCUCGCCUUAAGCACUGGGGCAGAGCACUCCUCCAGCCCUACAGAAGCGCUGUGCAGUCCCACAGCCCCCCGCUCACCUAACAGGUGAGUCCAGAUGUUGCCCGUCUCGGUGUGUAUUCGAAAGAUGCUCUUGAAGCAGGCUCGGAAGGACGGCAUUGGAGGCCGGUGCCCGUGCAGGAGGUAAUCGUUGUCCUUCAGCCAGUCGGGCAGCACAUCGUAGGGGAUCACACGCCAGCGCCCUUCCCACACCUGCAACACACCGACUUGUGCUGGUGGCCACGGGGGCUGGCAGCAGCAGUGAGGCAGCCCAAAGGCUCAAGCUGAAUCACCCUGGGAGCUCAAGCUGCACACAACAAAACCUGCAGGUCUUGCCUACAGCCAGGGCUCAGAAGGCCCUGAAACACUCCUCUGGGGGAGGAACUUUGGCUUUCGCAAAACCCUGUGGAAUCCCUUACACCACCCACAUCCUGCGGAGCACUUCCACAUCCCCUAAGGAGCUGGAGACAAUUCACAGCAUUUAACCCUUCAGCACACUAAGUGUCCACUCCCAGCACCGGAGAAUUCCAUUUUAGUCACACAGAAAGAAGCCUGGCUGGCCACAGAACUGUGCUGGGAUUCAUGCAUUUACCAAACGUGGUGACCAUGAGCACCAGUGCUGAGCAGAGGCACCCAGCAAAACCAGCAGCAGCAUUUGAGCUCCCAGGCCCAGACGAUGCUGGUGCUGCUCCUGAGGCUGAGCACAGCCUCCAGCUGUCCCCCGGGAUCCCAAGAAGCUCCCAUACCUUAUACACAAACUCUUCCAUCUUCUCCAUAGCAUGAUGAGCCUGCAGAGGCAGCGUCAGCACACGGACAACUUCCUCCUCUUCCUCACGGGCCACUGGGCACGGCGGGUCUUCAGCGCUGGCGGUGCCGGCUGCUCCCUGCUCGCCCUUCUCCUCCAGCAGCGGCCCCAGCUCCGCCAGCUCCAGGUGGGCUCUGUCCCGGCCGGCGGCUGCCAGCCCGUUGCCCUGCGCGGCGGCGGCGGCUUUCCGGGACGCCAUGGCGGCGGCGGCG